AUACGGAGGGUGCGAACGUUAAUCGGAAUUACUGGGCGUAAAGCGCGCGUAGGCGGUUUGGUCAGUCGGAUGUGAAAGCCCUAGGCUCAACCUGGGAAUUGCAUUCGAUACUGCCUGACUAGAGUAUGGUAGAGGGAAGUGGAAUUUCCGGUGUAGCGGUGAAAUGCGUAGAUAUCGGAAGGAACACCAGUGGCGAAGGCGACUUCCUGGGCCAAUACUGACGCUGAGGCACGAAAGCGUGGGGAGCAAACAGGAUUAGAAACCCCAGUAGUCC
RNAcentral lists this ribosomal RNA (274 nucleotides) under uncultured bacterium. RNAcentral describes it as "partial 16S ribosomal RNA". It matches the Rfam family "Bacterial small subunit ribosomal RNA", at positions 523 to 796 of the family's 1533-position model. The record is from RNAcentral.